Gasterosteus aculeatus (three-spined stickleback) is the source of this 45-nucleotide non-coding RNA. The record is from Rfam. Lineage: Eukaryota; Metazoa; Chordata; Actinopteri; Perciformes; Gasterosteidae.
ACAAAGGCUCUUUUAAGAGCCAGCCACAUGUCUGUAGAGAGCUUU